RNAcentral lists this ribosomal RNA (265 nucleotides) under Malva verticillata. RNAcentral describes it as "4.5S ribosomal RNA". Lineage: Eukaryota; Viridiplantae; Streptophyta; Magnoliopsida; Malvales; Malvaceae. The record is from RNAcentral.
GAAGGUCACGGCGAGACGAGCCGUUUAUCAUUACGAUAGGUGUCAAGUGGAAGUGCAGUGAUGUAUGCAGCUGAGGCAUCCUAACAGACCGGUAGACUUGAACCUUGUUCCUACAUGACCCGAUCAAUUCGAUCAGGCACUCGCCAUCUAUUUUCAUUGUUCAACUCUUUGACAACACGAAAAAUCCAUUGUUCAACUCUUUGACAACAUGAAAAAACCAAAAGCUCUGCCCUCCCUCUCUAUCUAUCCAUGGGAUGGAAGGGCG